AAGUUUCUCACUUAAUUGGCUUUUAGCAGAGAGCCCAGAACAGCUAACAGGGCCGGAUUUCCCCCAGCGACUCCCUGAGGCCACAUGGUCCUAGCUCCCGCCAUCUGCCUUCAUGCCCCACCCGUCCCACAAAACAACAUGGUGUCCUGUAUUAUUUAUUAAUAGCACAGAAACAGAAACAUGGUCAAUCCAGUUUUUAGCUGUUGGUUAAAGUCGUGUAAUGAAGCAGCUAAUGGGGUGAAACCCGUCAGGAGGGAGAGCCAUUGGUUAUACUGAUAGAGGGAAGACACUGCCUUUUGAUUUUAAUAUCAUCUCAUACAAUGGGUUUGAUGUUGUUUGCUGUGAUUAUUUUGCACUAAUAAACACUUUAAUUGAGCCAC
Molecule: long non-coding RNA, 380 nt
Organism: Xenopus laevis (African clawed frog)
Lineage: Eukaryota; Metazoa; Chordata; Amphibia; Anura; Pipidae
Exons: 3
Source: RefSeq, a predicted model, not a curated record